This 87-nucleotide transfer RNA is filed under the name Betaproteobacteria bacterium RBG_16_56_24. Its description in RNAcentral is "tRNA-Leu". It matches the Rfam family "tRNA". From Rfam's summary of the family: Transfer RNA (tRNA) molecules are approximately 80 nucleotides in length. Their secondary structure includes four short double-helical elements and three loops (D, anti-codon, and T loops). Lineage: Bacteria; Pseudomonadati; Pseudomonadota; Betaproteobacteria. The record is from RNAcentral. RNAcentral also lists the same sequence under 5 other names.
GCGGUUGUGGUGGAAUUGGUAGACACGCAAGCUUGAGGUGCUUGUGCUCGCAAGAGCGUGGGAGUUCGAGUCUCCCCAUCCGCACCA